GGUUAAGCGACUAAGCGUACACGGUGGAUGCCCUGGCAGUCAGAGGCGAUGAAGGACGUGCUAAUCUGCGAAAAGCGUCGGUAAGGUGAUAUGAACCGUUAUAACCGGCGAUGUCCGAAUGGGGAAACCCAGUGCAAUUCGUUGCACUAUCGUUAACUGAAUACAUAGGUUAACGAGGCGAACCGGGGGAACUGAAACAUCUAAGUACCCCGAGGAAAAGAAAUCAACCGAGAUUCCCCCAGUAGCGGCGAGCGAACGGGGAGCAGCCCAGAGUCUGAAUCAGCUUGUGUGUUAGUGGAACGGUCUGGAAAGUCCGACGGUACAGGGUGAUAGUCCCGUACACCAAAAUGCACAGGUUGUGAACUCGAAGAGUAGGGCGGGACACGUGGUAUCCUGUCUGAAUAUGGGGGGACCAUCCUCCAAGGCUAAAUACUCCUGACUGACCGAUAGUGAACCAGUACCGUGAGGGAAAGGCGAAAAGAACCCCGGCGAGGGGAGUGAAAAAGAACCUGAAACCGUGUACGUACAAGCAGUGGGAGCACCUUCGGGUGUGACUGCGUACCUUUUGUAUAAUGGGUCAGCGACUUAUAUUCUGUAGCAAGGUUAACCGUAUAGGGGAGCCGCAGGGAAACCGAGUCUUAACUGGGCGUUAAGUUGCAGGGUAUAGACCCGAAACCCGGUGAUCUAGCCAUGGGCAGGUUGAAGGUUGGGUAACACUAACUGGAGGACCGAACCGACUAAUGUUGAAAAAUUAGCGGAUGACUUGUGGCUGGGGGUGAAAGGCCAAUCAAACCGGGAGAUAGCUGGUUCUCCCCGAAAGCUAUUUAGGUAGCGCCUCGUGAAUUCAUCUUCGGGGGUAGAGCACUGUUUCGGCUAGGGGGUCAUCCCGACUUACCAACCCGAUGCAAACUACGAAUACCGAAGAAUGUUAUCACGGGAGACACACGGCGGGUGCUAACGUCCGUCGUGAAGAGGGAAACAACCCAGACCGCCAGCUAAGGUCCCAAAGUCAUGGUUAAGUGGGAAACGAUGUGGGAAGGCACAGACAGCCAGGAUGUUGGCUUAGAAGCAGCCAUCAUUUAAAGAAAGCGUAAUAGCUCACUGGUCGAGUCGGCCUGCGCGGAAGAUGUAACGGGGCUAAACCAUGCACCGAAGCUGCGGCAGCGACACUAUGUGUUGUUGGGUAGGGGAGCGUUCUGUAAGCCUGCGAAGGUGACCUGUGAGGGUUGCUGGAGGUAUCAGAAGUGCGAAUGCUGACAUAAGUAACGAUAAAGCGGGUGAAAAGCCCGCUCGCCGGAAGACCAAGGGUUCCUGUCCAACGUUAAUCGGGGCAGGGUGAGUCGACCCCUAAGGCGAGGCCGAAAGGCGUAGUCGAUGGGAAACAGGUUAAUAUUCCUGUACUUGGUGUUACUGCGAAGGGGGGACGGAGAAGGCUAUGUUAGCCGGGCGACGGUUGUCCCGGUUUAAGCAUGUAGGCUGGUU
RNAcentral lists this ribosomal RNA (1482 nucleotides) under Klebsiella pneumoniae. Its description in RNAcentral is "partial 23S ribosomal RNA". It matches the Rfam family "Bacterial large subunit ribosomal RNA", at positions 1 to 1530 of the family's 2925-position model. Lineage: Bacteria; Pseudomonadati; Pseudomonadota; Gammaproteobacteria; Enterobacterales; Enterobacteriaceae. The record is from RNAcentral.